Molecule: ribosomal RNA, 477 nt
Filed under: uncultured organism
Description: partial 16S ribosomal RNA
Rfam family: Bacterial small subunit ribosomal RNA
Source: RNAcentral
GUACACUCCUACGGGAGGCAGCAGUGGGGAAUUUUGGACAAUGGGCGAAAGCCUGAUCCAGCAAUGCCGCGUGAGUGAAGAAGGCCUUCGGGUUGUAAAGCUCUUUUGUCAGGGAAGAAACGGUGAAAGCUAAUAUCUUUUGCUAAUGACGGUACCUGAAGAAUAAGCACCGGCUAACUACGUGCCAGCAGCCGCGGUAAUACGUAGGGUGCAAGCGUUAAUCGGAAUUACUGGGCGUAAAGCGUGCGCAGGCGGUUUUGUAAGUCUGAUGUGAAAUCCCCGGGCUCAACCUGGGAAUUGCAUUGGAGACUGCAAGGCUAGAAUCUGGCAGAGGGGGGUAGAAUUCCACGUGUAGCAGUGAAAUGCGUAGAUAUGUGGAGGAACACCGAUGGCGAAGGCAGCCCCCUGGGUCAAGAUUGACGCUCAUGCACGAAAGCGUGGGGAGCAAACAGGAUUAGAUACCCCGGUAGUCCCAUG